AUUGAACGCUGGCGGCAUGCCUUACACAUGCAAGUCGAACGGCAGCGCGGGGCAACCUGGCGGCGAGUGGCGAACGGGUGAGUAAUAUAUCGGAACGUGCCCUGGAGUGGGGAUAACGUAGCGAAAGUUACGCUAAUACCGCAUACGAUCCAAGGAUGAAAGCAGGGGACCUUCGGGCCUUGUGCUCCUGGAGCGGCCGAUAUCUGAUUAGCUAGUUGGUGGGGUAAAAGCCUACCAAGGCGACGAUCAGUAGCUGGUCUGAGAGGACGACCAGCCACACUGGAACUGAGACACGGUCCAGACUCCUACGGGAGGCAGCAGUGGGGAAUUUUGGACAAUGGGGGCAACCCUGAUCCAGCAAUGCCGCGUGUGUGAAGAAGGCCUGG
Molecule: ribosomal RNA, 386 nt
Filed under: uncultured bacterium
Lineage: Bacteria
Description: bacterial SSU rRNA
Rfam family: Bacterial small subunit ribosomal RNA
Source: RNAcentral